Peromyscus eremicus (cactus mouse) is the source of this 515-nucleotide long non-coding RNA. RefSeq lists it as uncharacterized. NCBI's taxonomy places the organism in Eukaryota, Metazoa, Chordata, Mammalia, Rodentia, Cricetidae. The record is from RefSeq and is a predicted model, not a curated record. The transcript has 2 exons.
CACCCUGAUCUGUCAGGAGGCCCCAUGGCAGGAGCUUUGGAAGAAAACUCACAGGCCAUCCUGCGUGGAGCUUAUAGUGAUGUGGAUACCAACUGGGGAAAGACUGCCCUGGGAGGGUGGUGAGUGGAACCAAAUAAGGAAGGACAGAGACGACAGUCAGCUAAGCAGUAAAGGACAGAGAUGGCACUGGGUGUUACUCUACAUCAUUUUUUUUCUAUGUCAAUUUUCUUCUUGAAUGGUGGCAGAAAGGUGUUCCCACUGCAAUCACAGGAGGUUUAUGAAUGGAAGAGGAAGUCAGGAGAGCAGAGAGAGAAACAUGAAGGUACUAGAAAGCUGACUUUGAAAACAGAGGAAAAGGCGAGAAUCAAGAAACCUAGAAAAGACUAACCUGGCCUUCCUGCAGUUUUCAGAAGGGAGGCAACCUUGCUAACAAAUCCGCUUUACCCAUUGAGAACUGUAUCCCACAUUUUCUCUGCAGGACAAUAAGAAAAUAAAUUCUAUGUUGUCUUAAGCCA